AUGUGCAACACAGAGCCACGCACCGGGGACAUGCAAUCCCGUGUCACUUUCCUGUCACAACAGUGGCUUGGAGCCAUGACAUGGGGCCCUGUCUGGGGGAUUCGGCCACAGGGACCACGCAGAGCUCCUUUUGCAGACCUGCUGGUGCAGUGGGUGACCUCAGUGACAUGGCAGAGGGGGCACGGGAUGGCGCGGUGGGUGACCUCGGUGACACAACAGGGGCACAGGAAAGGAAACAGCCGAUGGCCCUGGGUGGCCCGCUGUCCCCAGGCUCAGGGCUGCGAACUGGAAAGGAGGCCGCGAGUGACUCAGGCGCAGCCCUGGCAGGGACCGAGGUGUCACCACCAAACAGAAGCAACAAGAGCAGGGCCAGGUGGGGACACCCCUUGGCCAGGAAGCUGCUGCGGGACACCCAAACCCAACAACCCAACAUGUGACAGUGACAUCUUCCUGUCCCCAUAGCUGUCUACCAAUUCCCCGAAUCCCCACUCCUUGAGCUCAGCAUCCAAGGCACACGCGGGGCACAACAUCUACCACCGUCAG
Molecule: long non-coding RNA, 543 nt
Filed under: Ictidomys tridecemlineatus (thirteen-lined ground squirrel)
Lineage: Eukaryota; Metazoa; Chordata; Mammalia; Rodentia; Sciuridae
Description: lncRNA (ENSSTOG00000030220.1)
Source: RNAcentral